RNAcentral lists this ribosomal RNA (247 nucleotides) under uncultured bacterium. Its description in RNAcentral is "partial 16S ribosomal RNA". It matches the Rfam family "Bacterial small subunit ribosomal RNA", at positions 524 to 766 of the family's 1533-position model. The record is from RNAcentral.
UACGUAGGGUGCAAGCGUUAAUCGGAAUUACUGGGCGUAAAGCGUGCGCAGGCGGUUUUGUAAGUUUUGUCGUGAAAUCCCCCGGGCUCAACCUGGGGAAUGGCGAUGAAGACUGCAAGGCUAGAAUCUGGCAGAGGGGGGUAGAAUUCCACGUGUGAGCAGUGAAAUGCGUAGAGAUGUGGAGGAACACCGAUGGCGAAGGCAGCCCCCUGGGUCAAGAUUGACGCUCAUGCACGAAAGCGUAGGG